AUGGCCAUGAAUGGUGACAUAGAC
Molecule: non-coding RNA, 24 nt
Filed under: Arabidopsis thaliana (thale cress)
Lineage: Eukaryota; Viridiplantae; Streptophyta; Magnoliopsida; Brassicales; Brassicaceae
Source: RNAcentral